This 464-nucleotide ribosomal RNA is filed under the name uncultured bacterium. RNAcentral describes it as "partial 16S ribosomal RNA". It matches the Rfam family "Bacterial small subunit ribosomal RNA", at positions 339 to 795 of the family's 1533-position model. The record is from RNAcentral.
CUACGGGGGGCAGCAGUGGGGAAUAUUGCACAAUGGGCGCAAGCCUGAUGCAGCCAUGCCGCGUGUAUGAAGAAGGCCUUCGGGUUGUAAAGUACUUUCAGCGGGGAGGAAGGGAGUAAAGUUAAUACCUUUGCUCAUUGACGUUACCCGCAGAAGAAGCACCGGCUAACUCCGUGCCAGCAGCCGCGGUAAUACGGAGGGUGCAAGCGUUAAUCGGAAUUACUGGGCGUAAAGCGCACGCAGGCGGUUUGUUAAGUCAGAUGUGAAAUCCCCGGGCUCAACCUGGGAACUGCAUCUGAUGCUGGCAAGCUUGAGGAGCGUAGAGGGGGGGAGAAUUCCAGGUGUAGCGGUGAAAUGCGUAGAGAUCUGGAGGAAUACCGGUGGCGAAGGCGGCCCCCUGGACGAAGACUGACGCUCAGGUGCGAAAGCGUGGGGAGCAAACAGGAUUAGAUACCCUCGUAGUC